GAAUUGAAGAGUUUGAUCAUGGCUCAGAUUGAACGCUGGCGGCAGGCUUAACACAUGCAAGUCGAACGGUAGCAGGAAGAAAGCUUGCUUUCUUUGCUGACGAGUGGCGGACGGGUGAGUAAUGCUUGGGAAUCUGGCUUAUGGAGGGGGAUAACUGUGGGAAACUGCAGCUAAUACCGCGUAAUCUCUGAGGAG
This 195-nucleotide ribosomal RNA is filed under the name Pasteurella multocida. Its description in RNAcentral is "partial 16S ribosomal RNA". It matches the Rfam family "Bacterial small subunit ribosomal RNA", at positions 1 to 187 of the family's 1533-position model. RNAcentral also lists the same sequence under 1 other name. Lineage: Bacteria; Pseudomonadati; Pseudomonadota; Gammaproteobacteria; Pasteurellales; Pasteurellaceae. The record is from RNAcentral.